This is a long non-coding RNA of Symphalangus syndactylus (siamang), 483 nucleotides long. RefSeq lists it as uncharacterized. The record is from RefSeq and is a predicted model, not a curated record. NCBI's taxonomy places the organism in Eukaryota, Metazoa, Chordata, Mammalia, Primates, Hylobatidae.
AGGGGCAGCCACCAUCUCUGCAGAUUGAUCAACUCAGUUGUUCCAGCCUGAUGGCUUUAGAGAGUCCAAGUGGUCUGGGCAAGGAAGAGUCCCCCCAACACAGCACACCUGCUCUACCAAAAAGCAGCCAGAUGGUUUCUUUAAGUGAGUUCCUGAUCCCAUUGCUCCUGACUGGCUGAGACCUCCCAACAGGGGUCUCCAGACACCUUCUACAGGAGCGUUCAGGCUGACAACUGGUCACUGUUCAAUUGGGACAGAGCUUCCAGAGGAAGGAGCAGGCUACCAUCUUUGCUAUUUCAUAACCUUCGCUGGUGAUACCUCCAGGUGAAUGAAUGGAUACAUGGAUAUAUUUUGUUGUCGAUACAUAAUAAGUGGGUAAGUUCUCACAACAUCUGGUUGUUUAAAAGAGUGUGGCACCUCCCUGGCCCUACACCUUGCUCUUGCUCUGGCCAUGUGACCUACCUGCUCCUGCUUGCCUGCCAC